AACUGAAACAUCUAAGUACCCCGAGGAAAAGAAAUCAACCGAGAUUCCCCCAGUAGCGGCGAGCGAACGGGGAGGAGCCCAGAGCCUGAAUCAGUGUGUGUGUUAGUGGAAGCGUCUGGAAAGGCGCGCGAUACAGGGUGACAGCCCCGUACACAAAAAUGCACAUACUGUGAGCUCGAUGAGUAGGGCGGGACACGUGGUAUCCUGUCUGAAUAUGGGGGGACCAUCCUCCAAGGCUAAAUACUCCUGACUGACCGAUAGUGAACCAGUACCGUGAGGGAAAGGCGAAAAGAACCCCGGCGAGGGGAGUGAAAAAGAACCUGAAACCGUGUACGUACAAGCAGUGGGAGCCUCUUUAUGGGGUGACUGCGUACCUUUUGUAUAAUGGGUCAGCGACUUAUAUUCUGUAGCAAGGUUAACCGAAUAGGGGAGCCGAAGGGAAACCGAGUCUUAACUGGGCGUUAAGUUGCAGGGUAUAGACCCGAAACCCGGUGAUCUAGCCAUGGGCAGGUUGAAGGUUGGGUAACACUAACUGGAGGACCGAACCGACUAAUGUUGAAAAAUUAGCGGAUGACUUGUGGCUGGGGGUGAAAGGCCAAUCAAACCGGGAGAUAGCUGGUUCUCCCCGAAAGCUAUUUAGGUAGCGCCUCGUGAAUUCAUCUCCGGGGGUAGAGCACUGUUUCGGCAAGGGGGUCAUCCCGACUUACCAACCCGAUGCAAACUGCGAAUACCGGAGAAUGUUAUCACGGGAGACACACGGCGGGUGCUAACGUCCGUCGUGAAGAGGGAAACAACCCAGACCGCCAGCUAAGGUCCCAAAGUCAUGGUUAAGUGGGAAACGAUGUGGGAAGGCCCAGACAGCCAGGAUGUUGGCUUAGAAGCAGCCAUCAUUUAAAGAAAGCGUAAUAGCUCACUGGUCGAGUCGGCCUGCGCGGAAGAUGUAACGGGGCUAAACCAUG
RNAcentral lists this ribosomal RNA (959 nucleotides) under Escherichia coli. Its description in RNAcentral is "partial 23S ribosomal RNA". It matches the Rfam family "Bacterial large subunit ribosomal RNA", at positions 191 to 1191 of the family's 2925-position model. Lineage: Bacteria; Pseudomonadati; Pseudomonadota; Gammaproteobacteria; Enterobacterales; Enterobacteriaceae. The record is from RNAcentral.